CAUAUCAAUAAGCGGAGGAAAAGAAACCAACAGGGAUUGCCCUAGUAACGGCGAGUGAAGCGGCAACAGCUCAAAUUUGAAAUCUGGCCUUCGGGUCCGAGUUGUAAUUUGCAGAGGAUGCUUUUGGCGCGGUGCCUUCCGAGUUCCCUGGAACGGGACGCCUUAGAGGGUGAGAGCCCCGUACGGUUGGACACCAAGCCUCUGUAAAGCUCCUUCGACGAGUCGAGUAGUUUGGGAAUGCUGCUCUAAAUGGGAGGUAAAUUUCUUCUAAAGCUAAAUAUUGGCCAGAGACCGAUAGCGCACAAGUAGAGUGAUCGAAAGAUGAAAAGCACUUUGAAAAGAGGGUUAAACAGCACGUGAAAUUGUUGAAAGGGAAGCGUUUGCGACCAGACCUUCUCCUGGCGGAUCAUCCGGUGGUUUCCACCGGUGCACUUCGCCAGGUCGAGGCCAGCAUCGGUCUUUGUAGGGGGAUAAAAGCUCAGGGAACGUAGCUCCUCCGGGAGUGUUAUAGCCCUCCGCAUAAUACCCUUACGGGGACCGAGGACCGCGCCUUCGGGCAAGGAUGCUGGCGUAAUGGUUGUCAACGACCCGUCUUGAAACACGGACCAAGGAGUCGAACAUUUGUGCGAGUGUUUGGGUGUUAAACCCUCACGCGUAAUGAAAGUGAACGGAGGUGAGAGCCCUUACGGGUGCAUCAUCGACCGAUCCUGAUGUCUUCGGAUGGAUUUGAGUAAGAGCAUAACUGUUCGGACCCGAAAGAUGGUGAACUAUGCGUGGAUAGGGUGAAGCCAGAGGAAACUCUGGUGGAGGCUCGCAGCGGUUCUGACGUGCAAAUCGAUCGUCAAAUCUGCGCAUGGGGGCGAAAGACUUAUCGAACCAUCUAGUAGCUGGUUACCGC
RNAcentral lists this ribosomal RNA (898 nucleotides) under Xylariaceae sp. RNAcentral's name for it is "partial large subunit ribosomal RNA". It matches the Rfam family "Eukaryotic large subunit ribosomal RNA", at positions 39 to 961 of the family's 3401-position model. The record is from RNAcentral. Lineage: Eukaryota; Fungi; Ascomycota; Sordariomycetes; Xylariales; Xylariaceae.